GCCGGUGGUUGCUCGAUGGUCGAGCAGCCGUUUCGUAUGCGGCCUCGUGGGGUUCGAUUCCUCCCGCCGGCU
This 72-nucleotide transfer RNA is filed under the name Kofleriaceae bacterium. RNAcentral's name for it is "tRNA-Thr". Lineage: Bacteria; Pseudomonadati; Myxococcota; Haliangiales; Kofleriaceae. The record is from RNAcentral.